This is a non-coding RNA of Pelobates cultripes (western spadefoot toad), 208 nucleotides long. NCBI's taxonomy places the organism in Eukaryota, Metazoa, Chordata, Amphibia, Anura, Pelobatidae. The record is from the annotation of a GenBank genome assembly.
ACGAAUACUUAUUCCUUCCUCAAAAUGGCCGCUAGAGCACCCCCUCCCAUCGACCAAAACACUUGUGUAACAAGAUGGCGCCUCCAUCCGGGACUACCCCCAAACUGACGACAUCAACAUCCAACAACAAGAAGUAAAUUCAAAAUAAGGACUUAACCAAUCACAAGCUUACGACGAGAAUUAUGUAAAUGCUUACGAAUCAUGUUUG